CCUACGGGUGGCUGCAGUGGGGAAUAUUGCACAAUGGGCGCAAGCCUGAUGCAGCAACGCCGCGUGUGUGAAGAAGGCCUUCGGGUUGUAAAGCACUUUCAGCGGGGAGGAAGGCGGUGAGGUUAAUAACCUCAUCGAUUGACGUUACCCGCAGAAGAAGCACCGGCUAACUCCGUGCCAGCAGCCGCGGUAAUACGGAGGGUGCAAGCGUUAAUCGGAAUUACUGGGCGUAAAGCGCACGCAGGCGGUCUGUCAAGUCGGAUGUGAAAUCCCCGGGCUCAACCUGGGAACUGCAUUCGAAACUGGCAGGCUAGAGUCUUGUAGAGGGGGGUAGAAUUCCAGGUGUAGCGGUGAAAUGUGUAGAGAUCUGGAGGAAUACCGGUGGCGAAGGCGGCCCCCUGGACAAAGACUGACGCUCAGGUGCGAAAGCGUGGGGAGCAAACAGGAUUAGAUACCCCGGUAGUC
Molecule: ribosomal RNA, 465 nt
Filed under: uncultured Klebsiella sp.
Lineage: Bacteria; Pseudomonadati; Pseudomonadota; Gammaproteobacteria; Enterobacterales; Enterobacteriaceae
Description: bacterial SSU rRNA
Rfam family: Bacterial small subunit ribosomal RNA
Source: RNAcentral